RNA transcript from Felis catus (domestic cat), 907 nucleotides. It is a transcript of the gene named OPA3, outer mitochondrial membrane lipid metabolism regulator, with no coding region annotated. The record is from RefSeq and is a predicted model, not a curated record. NCBI's taxonomy places the organism in Eukaryota, Metazoa, Chordata, Mammalia, Carnivora, Felidae. The transcript has 2 exons.
GGCAAGGGGCGGGGCUGGGGGGGGGGCAGUGGGAGAGGAGAGUCCCCCGGGAAGAGGGCGAGGGAAGAGAGCCUGGCUCCCGAAAGAAGCCCCCUCUCCAGGGCAGUCCUGGAAGAGACGUUGCUACAAUGGGGGUAGGCAGGAGACCUUGAGGGUGUCUGUGGGUUUCCCCCUUGCUCCAAAUUUUCCUACAAGCACUUUCACAUGCGGAGGGGACUCUCUAACGGUCACCAACAGGAAUGCCACUCUUAAUGUCAGAGGGCAGGGGCAUGGGGAACGUGAGGGAAGUGGGAGGACGUGGGCACCAGGGGGUUAAUCCCCAGUCGUCCCAGGGGCCUCCCCCCUGAAGCCGGGGGCUUUGGGGGCAGGAAGUCCCCGAGAGAGUGGAGGAAGGGAGAUAGUAUUGUCAGGCUCAGGCCCCAAGGGAGAGAUUAUGGGGGGCCGGGGGAGGGGAGAAUGGGGGGAGGGUCUACUCCGGUCCCCCAGCCCACACCGGCCCCGCCCUCAGGUGAGCCCAGGAGUUCUCAGGGAGGCCCAGGUGGAAUUGGGCUUCUGUCAAUUACAACGCAAACAAUGCUGACAAAUACAUCCUUCUGCUGCUGGGAAACUAUCAACAGUCCUCUCCCCGAACUGCCUUCUCCGCCGCCGUGCAAAGGACUGCAGGCUUGAGCCCCAGCUCCCUCCAUCCCAUUGAGGUGGUGACUCCCACCCCACCCCACCCCCACCCCCGCCUUCGUUUAUGUGGCUCCACCCACCACCUCUUGGGACAGCUCCAAAUUCUUGUAGGCUACGUGGGACCAAUUCACCACUUCUCUCCUCCGAGACCCAGACCAUCCUCGGAGACAUCCCAGUGGUUUCUGCAGCACACCCAGUCUUUGGGAUUGGUCAUAAACAUUCCUCGAAUUUU